UUGGUGGCAGUGACACUGGAAAAUUGGAAGCUCAGGAGACAACUCGAAACUGGUUUUACAAAGUGGCUUCUAUCAGAGAACUCCUGCCAAGGCUUUAUCUGAAGCUGCCCUCUUGCCUUGUUACUCCCUUAUCAAUGUUCAAGAAGGUGAACAGGCUCUGUCAAGAUUAUCACGAAUGAUCCGAGGAAUUGGUGAUCCUCUGAUGGCUGCUUAUGCACGGAUGUAUGUGUGUCGCAUGGGCUUUGUGAUCGCACCCACACUUACUCAACACAUUUCUGAAAGCAUAGAAGAUUUUCUGCAUGCUCUGAAACAGGGUCUAUGGCCAGAAGGUGAAGCAGACAUGAACAUGGGCGAGGAUAAGGAUUCUUUGGCAGCUCGAGUUUUCUCCCUCCACUAGAGUGGAUGAUGCAGUGUUUGGCUAGCUGUGCCC
This is a non-coding RNA of Cherax quadricarinatus, 430 nucleotides long. The record is from RefSeq and is a predicted model, not a curated record. NCBI's taxonomy places the organism in Eukaryota, Metazoa, Arthropoda, Malacostraca, Decapoda, Parastacidae.